Molecule: ribosomal RNA, 253 nt
Filed under: uncultured bacterium
Lineage: Bacteria
Description: partial 16S ribosomal RNA
Rfam family: Bacterial small subunit ribosomal RNA
Source: RNAcentral
UACAGAGGUCUCAAGCGUUGUUCGGAUUCAUUGGGCGUAAAGGGUGCGUAGGCGGCGCCGUAAGUCGGGUGUGAAAUUUCGAGGCUUAACCUCGAAACUGCAUUCGAUACUGCGGUGCUUGAGGACUGGAGAGGAGACUGGAAUUCAUGGUGUAGCAGUGAAAUGCGUAGAGAUCAUGAGGAAGACCAGUGGCGAAGGCGGGUCUCUGGACAGUUCCUGACACUGAGGCACGAAGGCCAGGGGAGCAAGCGGG